AACAAAGGUAAAGAUAUUUAACGGCAGUGUUCUAUGCAGAUACGGUCACAGUCCAGCCACCCACCGCCCUCACUGGGUUGACAGACUUCAAAAGCUGCUCGCAGUUUGGCGUCCUGGUUGUUGCUUCUCUCCGUGGUACAGCGCCAUCGAACCCAGGAAGCUGUCACAGUUGAAGACACCAUUUACCUGAAAUGAAAAGCAUGUGAUGAAAAAAUAAAGUUGCAUGAGGACACACCAGCACGGUUGACAGCGCCGGUGGCGGACGUUGUUACCCCGGGCCACGACUGAUCUGGUAUGGAAUUCUUUGGAUGAAC
This is a long non-coding RNA of Phycodurus eques (leafy seadragon), 314 nucleotides long. RefSeq lists it as uncharacterized. NCBI's taxonomy places the organism in Eukaryota, Metazoa, Chordata, Actinopteri, Syngnathiformes, Syngnathidae. The record is from RefSeq and is a predicted model, not a curated record. The transcript is spliced from 3 exons.